UACAGAGGUCUCAAGCGUUGUUCGGAUUCAUUGGGCGUAAAGGGUGCGUAGGCGGCGCGGUAAGUCGGGUGUGAAAUCUCGGAGCUUAACUCCGAAACUGCAUUCGAUACUGCCGUGCUUGAGGACUGGAGAGGAGACUGGAAUUUACGGUGUAGCGGUGAAAUGCGCAGAUAUCAGGAGGAACACCGGUGGCGAAGGCGGGUCUCUGGGCCGAAACUGACGCUGAGGAGCGAAAGCGUGGGGAGCAAACAGG
RNAcentral lists this ribosomal RNA (253 nucleotides) under uncultured bacterium. RNAcentral's name for it is "partial 16S ribosomal RNA". It matches the Rfam family "Bacterial small subunit ribosomal RNA", at positions 524 to 776 of the family's 1533-position model. The record is from RNAcentral.